UACGUAGGGGGGCAAGCGUUGUCCGGAAUCAUUGGGCGUAAAGCGCGCGUAGGCGGCCCGGUAAGUCCGUUGUGAAAGUCAAAGGCUCAACCUUUGAACGCCGAUGGAUACUGCCGGGCUAGAGUCCGGAAGAGGCGAGUGGAAUUCCUGGUGUAGCGGUGAAAUGCGCAGAUAAUCGGGAGGAACACCAAUGGCGAAGGCGAG
This 204-nucleotide ribosomal RNA is filed under the name uncultured bacterium. Its description in RNAcentral is "partial 16S ribosomal RNA". It matches the Rfam family "Bacterial small subunit ribosomal RNA", at positions 524 to 725 of the family's 1533-position model. The record is from RNAcentral.